This 378-nucleotide unclassified non-coding RNA is filed under the name uncultured bacterium. RNAcentral describes it as "contains 16S-23S intergenic spacer region". The record is from RNAcentral.
UCUCCGCUUGCGCGGGCAGUCUUUUUAGAGUCCCCACCAUUAUGUGCUGGCAACUAAAAAUAAGGGUUGCGCUCGUUGCGGGACUUAACCCAACACCUCACGGCACGAGCUGACGACAGCCAUGCAGCACCUUGCUCCUUGUCCUUGCGGAACGAUCCGUCUCCGGACCCAUCAAGGGCAUUCUAGCCCAGGUAAGGUUCUUCGCGUUGCGUCGAAUUAAGCCACAUGCUCCACCGCUUGUGCGGGCCCCCGUCAAUUCCUUUGAGUUUCAGCCUUGCGGCCGUACUCCCCAGGCGGGGUGCUUAAUGCGUUAGCUUCGGCACAGAAGACGUCGAUAGCCCCCCACACCUAGCACCCAUCGUUUACGGCUGGGACUAC